This 207-nucleotide ribosomal RNA is filed under the name uncultured bacterium. Its description in RNAcentral is "partial 16S ribosomal RNA". It matches the Rfam family "Bacterial small subunit ribosomal RNA", at positions 568 to 774 of the family's 1533-position model. The record is from RNAcentral.
AGCGUAGGCGGCCUGGUAAGUGGGAAGUGAAAUCCUUCGGCUCAACCGAAGGCCUGCUUUCCAAACUGCUUGGCUCGAGUCCGGGAGGGGAGACGGGAAUUCCUGGUGUAGCGGUGAAAUGCGCAGAUAUCAGGAGGAACACCGGUGGCGAAGGCGCGUCUCUGGACCGGUACUGACGCUGAGGCUCGAAAGCGUGGGGAGCAAACA